CACACCCGAGCGAGUUUCUUUUCUUAAGUUUUGAUGGUGAAAGCCCCUUGCUUCUAGCCGUGGAGGUUUCAUUGCAAACUCGGAGACUUAAUGCAGAAGAGGAAAGUGGAAUUCCAGUGGUAGCGAUGAAAUGCGUAGAGAUAUUGAGGAACACAGUGGCGAAGCGACUUUCUGGUCUGUAACUGACAUGAAGGCGCGAAAGCGUGGGGAAGCAAACAGGAUUAGAUAUCUGGUAGUUCACGCCGUAAACGAUGAGUGGUUAGUGGUAGAGGGUUUCCCGCCCCUUAGUGCUGAAGGUAACGCAAUAAGCACUUCGGCCUGGGGAGUACGGCCGCAAAGCUGAAACUCAAAGGAAUUGACGGGGGCCCGCACAAGCGGUGGAGCAUGUGGUUUAAUUUGAAGCAACGCGAAGAACCUUACCAGGUCUUGACAUCCUUUGACAACCCUAGAGAUAGGGGUUUUCCUUUGGGAGCAGAGUGACAGGUGGUGCAUGGUUGUUGUCAGGUUGUGUUGUGAGAUGUUGGGUUAAGUCCCGCAACGAGCGCAACCCUUGAUUUUAGUUGCCCUCAUUUAGUUGGGCACUUUAAGGUGACUGCCGGUGACAAACCGGAGGAAGGUGGGGAAGAAGUCAAAUCAUCAUGCCCCUUAUGACCUGGGGUACACACGUGGUACAAUGGGCGGUACAAAGAGGUGCAAGACCGCGAGGUGGAGGUAAUUUCAUAAAACCGUUUUCAGUUUGGAUUGUAGGGUGCAAAUUGCCUACCUGAAGCUGGAAUUGGUUGUAAUUGCGGAUCAGCAUGCCGCGGUGAAUACGUUCCCGGGCCUUGUACACACCGCCCGUCACACCAAGGGAGUUUGUAACACCCGAAGUCGGUGGGGUAACCUGUGAG
Molecule: ribosomal RNA, 890 nt
Filed under: Bacillus sp. HKG 127
Lineage: Bacteria; Bacillati; Bacillota; Bacilli; Caryophanales; Bacillaceae
Description: bacterial SSU rRNA
Rfam family: Bacterial small subunit ribosomal RNA
Source: RNAcentral